Molecule: ribosomal RNA, 353 nt
Filed under: Carapoia sp. Br15-78
Lineage: Eukaryota; Metazoa; Arthropoda; Arachnida; Araneae; Pholcidae
Description: partial 12S ribosomal RNA
Source: RNAcentral
UUAAUAUACACACAGGUAAUAAUUAAAUAAACCAUUAUAACUUGGCGGUCACAUUAACAAUUAAAGAAACUCGUCUCAUAAACGUCACCACCCGAUAACUUUCACUUAUUUUUAAAGUUUAUAUACCGCCGUCCUCUACACCAAAAAUAAAUAAACUUAAUUCAUUUAAUUAUAAUCACACAAUCAACAACAUUCAGGUCAAGGUGUAACACUAUAAAUAAGAAGAGAUAAGUUACUAAUAAACAAUCAUUUAAGAAAUUUUUAUACUAUUCCAAACUUUUAGAAAAAAGGAAAAAGAAUUUAAUAAUAAAAUAUAAUCAACAAUUAUAAUAGAACCUAAAUCACAGUGAUGC